UUUUAGAAAUUAAUUUAAAGUCUAACCUGCCCACUGAAUAAUUUUAAAUGGCCGCAGUAUCCUAACUGUGCAAAGGUAGCAUAAUCAUUAGUCUUUUAAUUGAAGGCUGGAAUGAAUGGUUGGAUGAAAUAUUAACUGUUUCAUAAAAAUUUAUGAUAGAAUUUUAUUUUUUAGUCAAAAAGCUAAAAUAUUAUUAAAAGACGAGAAGACCCUAUAAAUCUUUAUAUUUAAAUAAUUUUAAUUAUUUAGAUAAAUUAAAUUAUAAUUAUUUUAAAUAUUUUAUUGGGGUGAUAUUAAAAUUUAAUAAACUUUUAAUUUAUUAUAAACAUAAAUUAAUGAAUUAUUGAUCCAUUUAUUAUGAUUAAAAAAUUAAGUUACUUUAGGGAUAACAGCGUAAUUUUUUUAGAGAGUUCAUAUUGAUAAAAAAGAUUGCGACCUCGAUGUUGGAUUAAGAUAUAGUUUUAGGUGCAGCAGCUUAAACUUAAAGUCUGUUCGACUUUUAAAUUCUUACA
Molecule: ribosomal RNA, 512 nt
Filed under: Megaselia sp. 31 SH-2017
Lineage: Eukaryota; Metazoa; Arthropoda; Insecta; Diptera; Phoridae
Description: partial 16S ribosomal RNA
Rfam family: Bacterial large subunit ribosomal RNA (bases 385-512)
Source: RNAcentral